Long non-coding RNA from Cyprinus carpio (common carp), 588 nucleotides. RefSeq lists it as uncharacterized. The record is from RefSeq and is a predicted model, not a curated record. The transcript is spliced from 5 exons. Lineage: Eukaryota; Metazoa; Chordata; Actinopteri; Cypriniformes; Cyprinidae.
UUUGUGUUACAACUCAGGAUGACAUCGAUAAUAGAGGAUUCCAUAAAACACUUAAAGCUCUAUGCAAGAAUAAAGGACACUAUUGGUCAAAAAACUCGAGCGAGAUCCCAGAUCUCAACGAGUGUUUGGCCACACACAUGCAGGAAAGCAUUAAUGAGGAAUUUAAUCAAAUUUUUCCUGUUAAUGGCAAAACGGAGAAAUCAUUGCAAAAACACCUUGAUAAUGUCAGUAUCAUCCAAAGUGACAAUACAUACUGCAGAUCGUCUAUGCUAUACCACAUUCAGAACUUCAUCAAAACACGGGAAAACAAACUGAAGGUGUUACUCGGCAGAAAAGUUAUUAACAGGAAGAAGGAAAUCUAGUCAUCAAUCUCAACAACGAUUCAGAAAAAAAUGGGUAUUGGCUAUAAAAAAGCUGCAAAAAUAAAAGGAAAUAAUACCUUAAAGAAAAUGCAGAACAUUCUAAGUGGUACCAUUGAGUCAUUAAAAGAUGACAUGUUCAACGACGCCAAAACGGAGUUCCUUGAGAAAUUCAAUAAGUUGAAGCUCGAAAUAAAGAAUGACUUACAAUCUCAUAUCAAAACAUCAA